AGGAGGCCGCGCCGGGCCUUGCGGGGCCGCCGGGACGGGGUCGCCGGGCUCGCGGGGACCGCGGGGCUCUCGGCCUCCCGCCUCCCCAGGCGCCGGCUCCUUCGGGGCGUCUCCAUGGCCUCCCGCCGCGCCAGCCGAGCCCACCAGCAGAAGACCCACGUGGAGCGCCUAGGUUCUCCGGCGGCCGACGCUCCCAGUGACGUCCAAAAACAGCGACAGCCAACGAAGGGCUGGAAGGCGUGGUGCCCCGUCGGCCAUAUUGGUGAGGGGCAAAACCCCAGCGCCGCACUUUCCGGGAGCAUGCGCCUUCCUGCUCCUCUCCGAGCAGCGCAUUUGCGCCUGCGCAGAUCCCAUCGCUGGCCCCAGAUGGUGCUGGGCUUCCGAGGGUCUGGGGGACGGACGGGGAAGGGCACCGGCGGACCGGGACCGGGACCAGCCCCCGGACUCGCUUCGUUCGCGGGCCUGCUGUGCGCUAGCGCGGUGCUGCAUCAAGCAUUUCUUUAUCUGGGCUUUGAGGGCUCGAAGAAAAAGGGCGAGGAAGAGGUCCGGCCCUCAGGGAGCUUGCACUCUGCCCGGAAGUGGGAGGUUUACCCAAAUAGAAACCCUGCGCCCAGGGGUGGGGGCGGGGCAGGAAAAGCUCCCCGAGGCUGCGGGCGGGUGGAAGGGCAGGAGUUCCCUACAGACCCGGCGUGAGCUUGAGAAACAACAAAUGUGGAUAUUUCUAGGAACAGAGAUGCGCGCGCACAGGAAGAGCCUGCGUUGCAGUCAUACGGAGUUUGUGCAUUGGCCGGUUGGGAGUAAUCCUUGUUCUAAGAGGACCAAAGUAACGUCACUGUAUUGGGCUCACGGCGCCACGUAUCCUACUGUGGAGGGCCCUCCUCCAGGGGGGCCCCGUGCUCACGUUUGGAGAGGAGAUGACUCCGUUUGUACCUCUCACGUUUCUUGAGCAAUUCUGCGUCCUGCACAAAGCACAAAGCCGCCUUUGACUCUGGGCACUUGGUGCUGCUUGACCCUGAGACCCGUAGUCUUCCAUCUUCCACAAAGGGUUCCAGAGUUCUUCAGAGAGACCUUGAGAGUGUCCUUGUAUCCAUUCUCUGAGCUCCAUGUGAGCGCUUUAUGUGAGUUCUCCUUAAGUAGUCUUUCGGGCCAGUGCGUGUUUGCUGCCAGGAGCUUCUGGAGAGUUUGAAUCAUCAGCAGUUGCGCUUGAGAAAGGACCUCGGCGUCUGAUUCAGCCUCCCAAACAUUGAGCCAUCUCUGGCCACGUGUGGGCCAGUCUCACUGUCAGUGUAGCCAUCCCUGGAAAGUGUCCUGCCAAGGAAAGGGAACUUAUGCCCGUGAUUCAAAACUAAUCCGUUUUCCGUAAUCAACAGUUCCGUGUGUGGGGCUGGCCGGUGGAGAAGUUGUGUUUUCUUGGCGUUAAUUGUUAGGCCAAAGUUAGCACAAGCAGCAGUAUUAUGUGUGUGUAUAUGUAUGUGUAUAUAUAUAUAACAAUAUUAUACUAUACAAUGUUACUAAUAUAUAUACUGUAUAUAUAUUACAAUAUUAUACUAUACAAUAUUACUAAUAUAUAUAUAUAUAUAUUACAAUAUUAUAUAACAAUUCAAACUUUGAUCUUGAAGCUGUCCUGAUA
Sarcophilus harrisii (Tasmanian devil) is the source of this 1630-nucleotide long non-coding RNA. The record is from Ensembl. Lineage: Eukaryota; Metazoa; Chordata; Mammalia; Dasyuromorphia; Dasyuridae.